AGGGUUCGAUUCGGCUCAGGAUGAACGCUAGCUACAGGCUUAACACAUGCAAGUCGAGGGGCAGCAUUGGAGUAGCAAUACUUCAGAUGGCGACCGGCGCACGGGUGAGUAACACGUAUCCAACCUGCCGCUUACUCGGGGAUAGCCUUUCGAAAGAAAGAUUAAUACCCGAUGGUAUAAAGAGUUCGCAUGUUCUCUUUAUUAAAGAAUUUCGGUAAGCGAUGGGGUUGCGUUCCAUUAGAUAGUUGGCGGGGUAACGGCCCACCAAGUCUACGAUGGAUAGGGGUUCUGAGAGGAAGGUCCCCCACAUUGGAACUGAGACACGGACCAGACUCCUACGGGAGGCAGCAGUGAGGAAUAUUGGUCAAUGGGCGGGAGCCUGAACCAGCCAAGUCGCGUGAAGGAAAAGAAGGAUCUAUGGUUCGUAAACUUCUUUUGCAGGGGAAUAAAGUGCAGGACGUGUCCUGUUUUGUAUGUACCCUGAGAAUAAGGAUCGGCUAACUCCGUGCCAGCAGCAGC
This 519-nucleotide ribosomal RNA is filed under the name uncultured bacterium. RNAcentral's name for it is "bacterial SSU rRNA". It matches the Rfam family "Bacterial small subunit ribosomal RNA", at positions 8 to 518 of the family's 1533-position model. The record is from RNAcentral.